AUUUAGUUUAUGAUUUUUUACUGUAUCAAAUAUGUGUGCAAUUUUUCAGGAAAUUUUGUGCAUUUAUUAUGAAAACUUUAAGCAUUUUUCUAGUUAUUUGUCUUUAUCUCAUAGUCCAAAUACAUAUCACCAAAUCAGAUGACUUUAAAAUUAUUAGCAACUUAAUGUUUGGAGGAUGAACAUGCAGAAAGUCAUAUGGCUUGAUUCGGUUGGUAAGAUAACUCUUUAUCUACAUUACUUUGGGACUGUUGAUUUUUUCUUUUUUGUUGCAGCCUAUUUGGUGCUAAAGCUUGUAGCCAUGUUUGACUUUGUAUUCUCCAUUUUGAGUAUAGAUUCGAGGAAAUUAAAUCUGACAUUUUUGUAAGGCUAAGACGAAUAGACAAAAUCUUCUUGGUCAAUUGGGUGUUUUAGCUUUGUAUGAUCUUGGACAUGAGAUCAUGUCAUAAUUCUUUUUAGUAGGCCAUUUUUAGGAACUCCUUUUCUUUUAACCAUUAGACCAAUUUUGUUGAGGAUUGAGAUAGUCCUGGAUUAGUUAUGCAUGUGAUCCUGAAAAGAAAAUAAGGCUGCAAAUGGUUGCACGUUUAGAUAAACAAAAUUGGAUGGAAAGUAGAUUCAUUCCAAUUUUUACCAUUUGAGUUGAAAGUGUAAAAUUUAUUAUUCAUCUCAUUUAUCUCGUUCAUCUCUUUUCAUCUUUAAAGAGAUGAACAAAGACUGCAAAUGGUUAUCACUAAAAACAAAUUGGAGGAACAAAGACCGCAAAUGAUUUUCACUAAAAACAUAUUAUUCAUCUCCAAUUUAUUAAUCUCUAUUUUAGUGGAUGAAAAGAUUCUUAAAUUUCUCUUCUUUGUUCAUCUAACUAACGUAAAAUAUAAAUGAAUGAGAUGAAUAAUUUUCUUACAUUUUCAUCCUAAUUGAUGAAAUUUGAAAGAACUAUUGUUUUCAUCUCAAAUUAUUCAUCUCAUAGUGUAAUCAUUGAAAUCGACACAUGAUGCGUGUUUAAUUUCAUCUCAGGCUUUUACCGGAAAGACCACACGACUACUGCAGGUGCACAACAAAUUGGAGUAGUAUUUAAGGAUUGAAUCCACAAGGAGUGUAGUUACAAGGAAGAACUCAAGUUAAAUAACCUGGACCAAGAAAAACGAAAGAGUAGGGUUUUGUGUAUGCAGUGAAAAUAAGUGAAAAGUGCAAUAAAAAUAAGAAAGCAAUAAAAGGAAACUAUAAAAAGGCAACAAAGUAAAAGACAAUGAAGAGAGCAGUAUAAAAUAAGUAAACGAAAGCGUUAGGUCAUCGGGGGUUUUCUUCAGGCAACAUGGUUCAAAUAAAAGGUAUAGAUCCCAAUUCAAGUGAUAACAUUGUUAGGUUUGUUUACUUCCAAAUUCUCGGACAUACAAAACUCAUUCAAGUUCAGCUAACCCUAACGGUUAGUAGGCGGAAGCCAUCUAAUCUCCAUGUACCUCACUACUCAGUUGCCUCACGGCUAAGAGAGCAAAUAUGGUAACGACAUAUAGAUCAAAGCAUUAAGUUAAAGUUCAAUUCUAGUCCAUAAAGCCCAAUAACUCGGCGGCCAGCAACGGUUAUAACACAAUAUUUAUUCGUGAGUUAGUUCAAGCAAUUAUACGAGAUUUUGCCAAGUAUGAAAUACCUAAGAUCAGGUACUAGGUGACGUGCCGGACAUACAUGCAUUAAGAUCAAACCCAACUAGAAAGAGCAGUGUAAACGAUCAAACUAAACCAUAAAAACCGCCAACCUAAAUUUGAUCUAAAGUUCCCAUGCCAUGAAUGCCCUUCGAAACCCCCUAAAACCUAACUACAAUUCUACUCACACAUACUCAAAGAACACAACAUCAUAUGAAUAAGAAAUUGCAUAAAAAGAGUAAAUGUAUAGAAAAGGGUUUAGAGAUCUUCUCUUGAUAUCCAAAGCUAAUGAAUCUUCUUCCUUUUACAAGUAGAGAAUAGAGAAUAGAUCAGAAGAAAAGAGAAAACAAAUGAAGAACAAGAGGACGGCUCAGCGGCAAGAGAGGCAGCCUAAUUUGCUGGGUGUCCUCUUUGGUUUCCCCUAAUCUUAGGAUAUAUAGGUUUCAUUAGGUUAAAGGUAGAAACGUCUUUCGGUUGAUUAGUAAGUGAUGGGCCAAGUUCUUGGGCUUCUUGGGAAGGCUUGAAGUCAGCGGCAUGAGGAAGAGAAGGACUUGUUGUGUGAAUUUACUAGAAUGAAUUUUUAU
This 2218-nucleotide small RNA is filed under the name Arabidopsis thaliana (thale cress). RNAcentral's name for it is "ATSL045420". Lineage: Eukaryota; Viridiplantae; Streptophyta; Magnoliopsida; Brassicales; Brassicaceae. The record is from RNAcentral.